AGCCAGUCGACAUCCCGUUGAGCCGCUGCCGCCUCUACUAGUGUUUCUCCUCCCCCCAAAAUGGCGGCCCCCAAGCCUGGGGAGGAGGCAUCGAUUGCUCGGCGCUCGGCCCACCUCGCAGAGGAGAUGCGAAAUUGGCUGAGAGCAGAUGAGAGGCGGGACGGACUUCGAGGAAGCGGAGGGCAGGGAAACUGGUGGAGCUCCGCAUCAUCCAGCGAGCGCGGGCUGUAGGUUGGGGCCCAGCUGCUUCCGGAGAAGAAGCCGGUCUACCCGUCAAGGGCUGUAAGCAGGUGCGGCUCCUAACUUCUCCGCUGGCCGUUACCUUCCCGGCUGCCAGCGCCGCGUUUCCAAAGGGCCAGGAAAGACCGGGCAGCAGCAGAGACGGAUAGAGGAGCGGUUUCAAUUUGCCUUUAACGACCCUUUAGUAGUUCGUGAAGUCAGCUUAACUGGUUUCUACCUGGAAGGUCUACAAUUUUUGUUUUAUAUGAAAUAGAGUGAGAAAUUUCAGGAACCUCUCAGAGAGUCGAAGUGAAGAGGAGCAGCAUACAUCACCCCAAAAGGUAUCUCUUGGCAUAUGUGGAUUAUUCUAAGCUGAAGGCAAUCAAGACCCAGCAGAUUGAAGGAAAACUUUUUUUCAUAGCUGUCUGAAACAUUGUAAAUAGGGAGCCCGGCCCAGACAGAGGGUUAUUACCAGAGAUGACUUCUCUAUCUGAAAGACUUGUGUUUGGCAAGCUAAACUCGUCUCAUCUUCCAGUGACUUGUCUUCCUCUUUUUGAAGUCCCAGGCCCCUACCUGUGUCUCCUUAGCUGAAGAGGACACAGCCUUAUAUUAGCCUCAAUUUCCUGACUGAUUAUGAGUGUCAUUGUCUCUGAGGGGCUCUUGUACAUAUAUAUUUAAAUGUGUUUUUCUCCUGUUAUUCUGUCUUAUUUAAUAAUUAUUAGACCAACGCAAGAACCUAGAAGUUUUUUCACCCCUACAAGAAAUAUAUAGAAUUAAUAAAUGUUUUCUUUUAAAA
Odocoileus virginianus texanus is the source of this 1015-nucleotide long non-coding RNA. RefSeq lists it as uncharacterized. The record is from RefSeq and is a predicted model, not a curated record. NCBI's taxonomy places the organism in Eukaryota, Metazoa, Chordata, Mammalia, Artiodactyla, Cervidae.